This 229-nucleotide small nucleolar RNA is filed under the name Metschnikowia bicuspidata var. bicuspidata NRRL YB-4993. Lineage: Eukaryota; Fungi; Ascomycota; Pichiomycetes; Serinales; Metschnikowiaceae. The record is from RNAcentral.
AACGCAAAUUCACAGCCACUCACAACGUAACAGCAUCCCGUUGAGGUUGAACCCAUUGUGGCGUUCUUGACCCAUGACCAUCGGGGUAUUGUUGUAAUUUUUUAGCGGUGGACUGGAGACUAAUUUGUUGAUCUUGGGUGCAGCAUUCCAUCUGUAAAUACUUGUUAUUUCUAAGGGAUUGCCUUCGUGUGCCCGUAUGGGGAUUGCUGCAAGGAUUAACUUUACAUCU